Molecule: long non-coding RNA, 2000 nt
Organism: Suricata suricatta (meerkat)
Lineage: Eukaryota; Metazoa; Chordata; Mammalia; Carnivora; Herpestidae
Exons: 2
Source: RefSeq, a predicted model, not a curated record
UUGAGGCAAGGUCUGAAGACUGACUCCGAAGCGAAAUUUUUAUGGGGAAAAAAAAGAAAAGAAAAGCUUCACACGUUUCCGUAUUAUCAGCACGCUCUCUUUCUUGCUGCCAAGGACAUUGUUGUUGCUGGAACGGCCUGGAAAUCACAUCAACGGGAAAGAUGAGCAUUAGGACUUCUCAUCAGAGGCAAAAGCAGUAAUCCCCACCUCCCACCAAGUGGUGGGAAAUCAAAUCUCGAGAACAGAUGGGGAAAUGUGGCAAUACCUCCUGACCUUGUGCACUUUGGGGUCCCCAUUUCGGCCACAAAGAUGACAGGAGGAGAGAGAUGGGGGAGUUCAGAAUAAUAACUUCAAACUCUCCCGUCUACAUCCUGGCUCCACUCUCAUCUCCAGAGAGACUUGGGUUUUAACUGGAUCAGAAGGAGUUACUUAUCUAUUAUUCUGGAAGGACUGUUUCUGAAAGAAUUGUUGGCUCCAUCCAAAAUUCCCUUUUCUUUUUCUCCUUUUCUUUUUCUCCUUUUUUUAAGUUACUAUGAUCUACAACCCCUUAUCCAGUUUCCCAAAAAUUGCAUCAGUUAAUCUGGCAAGCGUCCAGAAAGGAAACUGUUGGGAACAGUUGGGAACUAAGAAUUCGGUCACCACCCUCUCCCACUUCCUACAUUUCCUCAGGACCCUGAGGUCACCAAGGUCAAGCUUAUGAUCAGAGAAUUAUUUGGGGUUCCACAUUCUCCUUUUUGCUCGCAUAUCCAUGAUCGGUAAUGAUCUCACUUUACACUGAUGUUCAGGAAUCCUGUAGGUAGUUGAGCUGAGAAGAGCUACAAGAAAUGAUGCCACAUUUUCAGGAUUCAGCUUAAAAUUUUAGUAAUAUCCAGUCAGCAGCUGUGAGUAGAAAUUCUUACUGGAAAAAGUGUUGUAUCAUUGAAGAGGAACAUGGAAAUUACUUCCUUCUACUUAAGAAAUGUUAGCCAUGAGGUUUUUCUGCCUCCUCAGCAUAGCUGCCCUGAACGCUGUUUCUCUUUUCUCCUUCCACUCCUGUUUUCUAAUGUUUUAUUGAGUUCUAACAAGAGGCCAGGGACAGCUGUCGGUGCCGAACAUGUCUUAGUUCAUUCCAACCUCUGAACGGUCCUCUGAGGUAGGCAACAUUAUUAUUCCCAUUUUACCAGUGAAAAACUGAAACACAGAAAGUUUGAGUGACUUGCCUGAAAGAAUGGACGAUUUGGGAUCCAAAGCUAGGCAUUUGGGUUCCAGAGCCCAGCCUCUUUAUUUUUUUAAUGUUUGUUUAUUUAUUCUGAGAGAGACAGAGAGAGGGCUGGGUGGAGAGAGAGAGAGAGAGAGAGAGAGAAUCUCAAGCAGGCUUUGUGCUAUCAGUGCUGAAACCGAGAGUCUGAGCCACCCGACACACCCAGAGCCCCGACUCGACCACCAUUCCACACUGACUGGUUCUGACAAUUCUCCUCUCUUCCUACUUAGAAUCUGUUCGUUCACCUCCUUGCCCCUGCCCCACCUCAUCCUUCCUCCCACGUCUCCCCCUUGGCUCAUCCCAUCCUCGUCUUCUAACUGCUCCUUCCCUGAUGCUUCUUUUCAAGCCCACAUUUAUCUUUGUUCUUGUAGAAUAGGUCUAAGAUCUCCUUACACCUUACAAGGCAGCCUUCCUGACCAACUUCACCGCGCUCUGACCAGGUGCUGACUCCAUGUCACUUGUGGAGGGCACUGCCUUGUUAUCAAGCUUUGCUUACUCAUUGCCUUGAACACCAACACCCUUAUAAUUCAGGAGGCACGCACGUAGGUAUGACAGCUGAGCCACUCAGGGGCAUAGCUAAGAACCCCAAGAAGAAAAGGGAAAGAAACUUUAGCCUCCGAAUAGGUGGCAGCAUUGAUGGACUAAGCUUCUUUCUUUGUGCUCACUGCCUUCUGAACUUCAGGAACAAAUCAUUUAGAGCAGAAACUGGCACUGUGGCCCACCAUCGUUUUUUUUAUAAAUAAAGUUUUAUCAGAACACA